RNAcentral lists this ribosomal RNA (254 nucleotides) under uncultured bacterium. RNAcentral's name for it is "partial 16S ribosomal RNA". It matches the Rfam family "Bacterial small subunit ribosomal RNA", at positions 524 to 776 of the family's 1533-position model. The record is from RNAcentral.
UACGGGGGGAGCAAGCGUUGUUCGGAUUUACUGGGCGUAAAGGGCGCGUAGGCGGCCAGCACAAGUCAGUUGUGAAAUCUCCGGGCUUAACUCGGAAAGGUCAACUGAUACUGUGCGGCUAGAGUGCAGAAGGGGCAACUGGAAUUCCGGGUGUAGUGGUGAAAUGCGUAGAGAUCCGGAGGAACCCCAGAGGCGAAGGCGACGUCCUGGCUCGCAUCUGACGCUCAGACACGACAGCAUGGGGAGCGAACGGG